Molecule: long non-coding RNA, 1373 nt
Filed under: Chinchilla lanigera (long-tailed chinchilla)
Lineage: Eukaryota; Metazoa; Chordata; Mammalia; Rodentia; Chinchillidae
Description: lncRNA (ENSCLAG00000026988.1)
Source: RNAcentral
AGACACUUUGAAAUCUAAUAUACCUGAGGAUCUUUUUAAAGGUAGUUUCUCCUCUUUCUAAAGAUCAACUUCUCUCACAGCCAAGAUUGUCCUUUUGCUAACUCUCUAGCUGUUACAAAUGAGGGAAAAACAUUAUUCACCUCUUUGCCUUUUCCUUUUGAUUCUCUUUUUAGUCUGUGUUAUUCCUGGGUUCAGAGACCCCCCCCUUCCAGAUUUGUUUGUUUGUUUGUUUGCUUUUUGUUGUUCUUGAUUUUACAAACAAUAGAUUUUCAUGGGGUUAAAAAAAUAUUAAAUGAUUCACAGACCUGGAAUCAAAUGAUUCACAGACCUGGAGCCUGUCUUUCUCCUGAGUAAAUGCUAAUCCCCAUAACUACCUGUGUAUGCCCUAUAACCUUCCGUGGACCAGGGGACCAUCCUCAAGCUAAAGUUCAGAAGAGUAGUGAAUGUGAAGAAAAUCUGAACUCCAUUCAACAAUAAAGGGCCACGUUCUACAGAGCAGCACAUCAGAAAGCUAAAUGUGACUUUGCUCGACACACUGGUGCUUAUCCUUGGGGGAUGUCAUGCUGGGCCUUUAUCGAGUAACUGGAAAACUUUCUUGAAGCCAUGGUUUCAUACUUAGUAGGAAGAUAAAUGGGAGGGGAAAAGGUGGCGAACAAGUAUUUGGGGUUAUCAUCAAAAAUCUCAUGCCUGCAAUAUUUUUCUCCCAUAACCUUGGAAACUUUCCCAGUUCAUUGUCAGUCCUAUUGUUAGCACGGUUCUGAGGGAUUUGUUCUUGCUAAAAUGAUUUUGUUUCAAAUGUUAUCUCUUGACCCUUAAUGCUCAGGUUCUUGUGGGUGUUAAUCAACCACAUCCAAUGUUAUCUUUCCGGGGGAGAAAGAGGAUGACUGCUCAGGAUUUAAACAAGCUGGCCUUGGGAGCCUCUAUAGAUUAGCUUCAAGUAGUCCAAGCUGAAGUCCUGUGGUUUUGCGUUUAAUGAUAAUAGUUGAUUAUAUAUGGCAUAAUUUUUCUGUCUGGCGUCCUACUCAGUCAUAACCAGAGACUUGAAAUAGUACUUUAAAGGUCUAAAAACCUAAAAGUGCUAAACUGGAGGUAUCUAUUUCUAGGUAGUUGACUUUUUGAAAGUGAUGAUCAGCCAUGCAACUGUUUUGUAUAUACUUUCUCUUGCACUUUUCUGUAUGCAAAUUAAAGCUAUAAAUUUACUCAUUUCAAUAAACUGGAAUGGCAAAAUCUACGGUGUCACCACCAAUUUAUUCUGAUGUUUGACCUUUUCUUUGAGUUGACCGUUAGGGAGCAAAGCGUACCAGUGUACAGUAAGUAAAUGUGAGUUACAGUACAUUCCAGAUUAUCAAUAAAGAAGAGAAAGUGGGAAGCUA